This 550-nucleotide ribosomal RNA is filed under the name uncultured bacterium. Its description in RNAcentral is "bacterial SSU rRNA". It matches the Rfam family "Bacterial small subunit ribosomal RNA", at positions 355 to 896 of the family's 1533-position model. The record is from RNAcentral.
UAGGGAAUCUUCCACAAUGGACGCAAGUCUGAUGGGGCAACGCCGCGUGAGUGAAGAAGGCUUUCGGGUCGUAAAACUCUGUUGUUGGAGAAGAAUGGUCGGCAGAGUAACUGUNGUCGGCGUGACGGUAUCCAACCAGAAAGCCACGGCUAACUACGUGCCAGCAGCCGCGGUAAUACGUAGGUGGCAAGCGUUAUCCGGAUUUAUUGGGCGUAAAGCGAGCGCAGGCGGUUUUUUAAGUCUGAUGUGAAAGCCCUCGGCUUAACCGAGGAAGCGCAUCGGAAACUGGGAAACUUGAGUGCAGAAGAGGACAGUGGAACUCCAUGUGUAGCGGUGAAAUGCGUAGAUAUAUGGAAGAACACCAGUGGCGAAGGCGGCUGUUUGGUCUGUAACUGACGCUGAGGCUCGAAAGCAUGGGUAGCGAACAGGAUUAGAUACCCUGGUAGUCCAUGCCGUAAACGAUGAAUGCUAGGUGUUGGAGGGUUUCCGCCCUUCAGUGCCGCAGCUAACGCAUUAAGCAUUCCGCCUGGGGAGUACGACCGCAAGGUUG